Molecule: ribosomal RNA, 274 nt
Filed under: uncultured bacterium
Lineage: Bacteria
Description: partial 16S ribosomal RNA
Rfam family: Bacterial small subunit ribosomal RNA
Source: RNAcentral
AUACGGAGGAUGCGAGCGUUAUCCGGAUUUAUUAGGUUUAAAGGGUGUGUAGGCGGUAUUUUAAGUCAGUGGUGAAAUCUCGGAGCUUAACUUCGAAACUGCCAUUGAUACUGGAAUACUUGAGUAUAGUUGAGGUAGGCGGAAUAUGUAAUGUAGCGGUGAAAUGCAUAGAUAUUACAUAGAACACCGAUUGCGAAGGCAGCUUACUAAACUAUUACUGACGCUGAUGCACGAAAGCGUGGGGAGCGAACAGGAUUAGAAACCCCUGUAGUCC